This 434-nucleotide unclassified non-coding RNA is filed under the name Clostridium butyricum. The stretch from base 322 to 434 matches the Rfam family "Bacterial large subunit ribosomal RNA", at positions 1 to 113 of the family's 2925-position model. The record is from RNAcentral. Lineage: Bacteria; Bacillati; Bacillota; Clostridia; Eubacteriales; Clostridiaceae.
GGAGAACCUGCGGCUGGAUCACCUCCUUUCUAUGGAGAAAUCUAGCAAACAUGGCGUUUGACUAGUACAAAGAUGCAAAGCAUCUAUAAAAAUUACAACUUGCUCAAAGGUUACUUAAUGAGUAUUGAUUCUGUUCAAUUUUGAAAGACUAUGUCUUUCAAAAGCGAAGUCUAAUUAAUGACAAGUGAUUGUCAGUAGUAGACGAGCGAAAAUGUUCUUUGAAAAUUGCACAUAGAUUAAUGUAUAUAAUACAACAAAGCCAAGAAUAAUAUUCUUUGUGAAUGAUUAAUAUAACCAGUUUUGUAUAUCAAAACUUAAAAAGGUCAAGCUACAAAGGGCGCAUGGUGAAUGCCUUGGCAUCAGGAGCCGAUGAAGGACGUGAUAAGCUGCGAUAAGCUUCGGGUAGGCGCACAUAGCCAGAGAUCCGGAGAUUU